RNAcentral lists this ribosomal RNA (459 nucleotides) under uncultured bacterium. RNAcentral's name for it is "partial 16S ribosomal RNA". It matches the Rfam family "Bacterial small subunit ribosomal RNA", at positions 338 to 795 of the family's 1533-position model. The record is from RNAcentral.
CCUACGGGAGGCAGCAGUGAGGAAUAUUGGUCAAUGGGCGCGAGCCUGAACCAGCCAAGUAGCGUGAAGGAUGACUGCCCUACGGGUUGUAAACUUCUUUUAUAAAGGAAUAAAGUGAGGCACGUGUGCCUUUUUGUAUGUACUUUAUGAAUAAGGAUCGGCUAACUCCGUGCCAGCAGCCGCGGUAAUACGGGGGAUCCGAGCGUUAUCCGGAUUGAUUGGGUUUAAAGUGUGCGUAGGCGGCCGUUUAAGUCAGCGGUGAAAUGCUGUGGCUCAACCAUAGAAUUGCCGUUGAAACUGGGAGGCUUGGGGAUGUUGGAGGUAGGGGGAAUUCGUGGUGUAGCGGUGAAAUGCUUAGAUAUCACGAAGAACUCCGAUUGCGAAGGCAGCGUACUAAACUGCCACUGACAUUGAUGCUCGAAAGUGUGGGUAUCAAAAAGGAUUAGAUACCUUGUAGUC